UUUAAAUGGCCGCAGUAUACUAACUGUGCAAAGGUAGCAUAAUCAUUAGUCUUUUAAUUGAAGGCUGGUAUGAAUGGUUGGACGAGAUAUUAACUGUUUCAUAAAAAUUUAUAUUAGAAUUUUAUUUUUUAGUCAAAAAGCUAAAAUUUAUUUAAAAGACGAGAAGACCCUAUAAAUCUUUAUAUUUAAAUUAUUAUAAUUUUGUAGAUAAUUUUUGUUAUAAUAAUUAAUAAUAUUUUAUUGGGGUGAUAUUAAAAUUUAAUUAACUUUUAAUUUUUAAAAAUCAUUAAUUUAUGAAUAAUUGAUCCGUUAUUAACGAUUAAAAAAAUAAGUUACUUUAGGGAUAACAGCGUAAUUUUUUUGGAGAGUUCAUAUCGAUAAAAAAGAUUGCGACCUCGAUGUUGGAUUAAGAUAUAAUUUUAGGUGUAGCCGCUUAAAUUUUAAGUCUGUUCGACUUUUAA
RNAcentral lists this ribosomal RNA (461 nucleotides) under Pogonota barbata. RNAcentral's name for it is "partial 16S ribosomal RNA". It matches the Rfam family "Bacterial large subunit ribosomal RNA", at positions 1922 to 2591 of the family's 2925-position model. The record is from RNAcentral. Lineage: Eukaryota; Metazoa; Arthropoda; Insecta; Diptera; Scathophagidae.